Molecule: ribosomal RNA, 460 nt
Filed under: uncultured bacterium
Lineage: Bacteria
Description: partial 16S ribosomal RNA
Rfam family: Bacterial small subunit ribosomal RNA
Source: RNAcentral
CCUACGGGUGGCAGCAGUGAGGAAUAUUGGUCAAUGGACGAGAGUCUGAACCAGCAAAGCCGCGUGAAGGAUGAAUGUCUUAUGGGUUGUAAACUUUUUUUAUAUGGGAAUAAAACAGGGUAUGUAUACACUCAUGUCUGUACCAUAUCAAUAAGGAAAGGCUAACUCCGUGCCAGCAGCCGAGGUAAUACGGAGGAUACGAGCGUUAUCCGGCGUUAUUGGGUUUAAAGGGAGCGUAGGUGGAUUGUUAAGUAAGUUGUGAAAGUUUGCGGCUCAACCGUAGAAUUGCAGUUGAAACUGGCAGUCUUGAGUACAGUAGAGGUGAGCGGAAUUCGUGGUGUAGCGGUGAAAUGCUUAGAGAUCACGAAGAACUCCGAUUGCGAAGGCAGCUCACUGGACUGCAACUGACGCUGAUGCGCGAAAGUGUGGGUAUCAAACAGGAUUAGAUACCCGGGUAGUC